Molecule: ribosomal RNA, 440 nt
Filed under: uncultured bacterium
Lineage: Bacteria
Description: partial 16S ribosomal RNA
Rfam family: Bacterial small subunit ribosomal RNA
Source: RNAcentral
CCUACGGGUGGCAGCAGUGGGGAAUAUUGCACAAUGGGGGAAACCCUGAUGCAGCGACGCCGCGUGAGUGAAGAAGUAAUUCGUUAUGUAAAGCUCUAUCAGCAGGGAAGAAAAUGACGGUACCUGAGUAAGAAGCACAGGCUAACUACGUGCCAGCAGCCGCGGUAAUACGUAGGGGGCAGGCGUUAUCCGGCUUUACUGGGUGUAAAGGGAGCGUAGACGGCAGUGCAAGUCUGGAGGGAAAGGCGGGGGCCCAAACCCCGGCCCGCCGUGGAAACUGUAAGGCUGGAGUGAAGGAGAGGUAUGCGGAAUGCCUGGUGUAGCGGUGAAAUGCGUAGAUAUUAGGCGGAACUCCAGUGGCGAAGGCAGCUUGCCGGACUGUAACUGACGCUGAGGCACGAAAGCGUGGGUAGCGAACAGGAUUAGAUACCCUUGUAGUC